Molecule: ribosomal RNA, 333 nt
Filed under: uncultured Anaplasma sp.
Lineage: Bacteria; Pseudomonadati; Pseudomonadota; Alphaproteobacteria; Rickettsiales; Anaplasmataceae
Description: bacterial SSU rRNA
Rfam family: Bacterial small subunit ribosomal RNA
Source: RNAcentral
UUGGUACCAUCAAAGAAGUCCCGGCAAACUCCGUGCCAGCAGCCGCGGUAAUACGGAGGGGGCAAGCGUUGUUCGGAAUUAUUGGGCGUAAAGGGCAUGUAGGCGGUUCGGUAAGUUAAAGGUGAAAUGCCAGGGCUUAACCCUGGAGCUGCUUUUAAUACUGCCGGACUAGAGUCCGGGAGAGGAUAGCGGAAUUCCUAGUGUAGAGGUGAAAUUCGUAGAUAUUAGGAGGAACACCAGUGGCGAAGGCGGCUAUCUGGUCCGGUACUGACGCUGAGGUGCGAAAGCGUGGGAGCAAACAGGAUUAGUCGCCUGGUAGUCCACGCUGUAAAC